CAAGACCGCGAGGUUUAGCAAAUCUCUUAAAGCCGUUCUCAGUUCGGAUUGUAGGCUGCAACUCGCCUACAUGAAGUCGGAAUCGCUAGUAAUCGCGGAUCAGCAUGCCGCGGUGAAUACGUUCCCGGGCCUUGUACACACCGCCCGUCACACCAUGAGAGUUUGUAACACCCAAAGCCGGUGGGGUAACCUUUUGGAGCCAGCCGUCUAAGGUGGGACAGGUGAUUGGGGUGAAGUCGUAACAAGGUAUC
RNAcentral lists this ribosomal RNA (251 nucleotides) under uncultured bacterium. Its description in RNAcentral is "partial 16S ribosomal RNA". It matches the Rfam family "Bacterial small subunit ribosomal RNA", at positions 1250 to 1500 of the family's 1533-position model. The record is from RNAcentral.